This 535-nucleotide ribosomal RNA is filed under the name uncultured bacterium. RNAcentral's name for it is "bacterial SSU rRNA". It matches the Rfam family "Bacterial small subunit ribosomal RNA", at positions 777 to 1307 of the family's 1533-position model. The record is from RNAcentral.
AAUAGACUACCCUGGUAGUCCACGCCGUAAACGAUGAAUGCUAGGUGUCAGGGGUUUCGAGACCCUUGGUGCCGAAGUUAACACAUUAAGCAUUCCGCCUGGGGAGUACGGCCGCAAGGCUGAAACUCAAAGGAAUUGACGGGGGACCCGCACAAGCAGUGGAGCAUGUGGUUUAAUUCGAAGCAACGCGAAGAACCUUACCAGGUCUUGACAUCCCUCUGAAUACGCCAGAGAUGGUGUAGGCCCUUCGGGGACAGAGGAGACAGGUGGUGCAUGGUUGUCGUCAGCUCGUGUCGUGAGAUGUUGGGUUAAGUCCCGCAACGAGCGCAACCCUUAGGUCUAGUUGCCAGCACUUCGGGUGGGCACUCUAGAGCGACUGCCGGUGACAAACCGGAGGAAGGCGGGGAUGACGUCAAAUCAUCAUGCCCCUUAUGACCUGGGCUACACACGUGCUACAAUGGCCGGUACAAAGGGCCGCGAAGCCGCGAGGCGGAGCCAAUCCCAAAAAGCCGGUCUCAGUUCGGAUUGCAGGCUG